Molecule: non-coding RNA, 84 nt
Filed under: Clostridiales bacterium oral taxon 876 str. F0540
Lineage: Bacteria; Bacillati; Bacillota; Clostridia; Eubacteriales
Also listed under: 1 other name
Description: Cyclic di-GMP-II riboswitch aptamer
Rfam family: Cyclic di-GMP-II riboswitch aptamer
Source: Rfam by way of RNAcentral
AAUUUUUACGGAAGCUGAGAUAUAAAUUCUUUACUUGGGCACUUGGAAUUUAUGGAGCUAGUAGUGCAACCGACCGAUUGAUUU